Molecule: ribosomal RNA, 180 nt
Filed under: uncultured Allobosea sp.
Lineage: Bacteria; Pseudomonadati; Pseudomonadota; Alphaproteobacteria; Hyphomicrobiales; Alloboseaceae
Description: uncultured Bosea sp. partial 16S ribosomal RNA
Rfam family: Bacterial small subunit ribosomal RNA (bases 1-159)
Source: RNAcentral
GAGGGACCGGGGCGCAGCCUGAUCAGCCAUGCCGCGUGAAGUGAUGAAAGGGCCUUAGGGUUGUAAAGCUCUUUUUGUCCGGGAAAGAAAAUGACUGUACCGGAAGAAUAAGCCCCGGCUAACUUCGUGCCAGCAGCCGCGGUAAUAGAAUACGCCUGGUAAUAUAAUAAGUAGCUGACC